Molecule: ribosomal RNA, 253 nt
Filed under: uncultured bacterium
Lineage: Bacteria
Description: partial 16S ribosomal RNA
Rfam family: Bacterial small subunit ribosomal RNA
Source: RNAcentral
UACGUAGGGUGCAAGCGUUGUCCGGAAUUAUUGGGCGUAAAGGGCUCGUAGGCGGUUUGUCGCGUCGGGAGUGAAAACCCAGGGCUUAACCCUGGGCUGGCUUCCGAUACGGGCAGACUAGAGGUAUGCAGGGGAGAACGGAAUUCCUGGUGUAGCGGUGAAAUGCGCAGAUAUCAGGAAGAACACCCGUGGCGAAGGCGGCUCUCUGGGACGGUACUGACGCUGAGACGCGAAAGCGUGGGGAGCGAACAGG